CACAAAAUAGCUUAUACAAAGCGCAAGUCUUUUAAACCUGAGAAAGUAAAUUACUUUUUGUG
Molecule: transfer RNA, 62 nt
Filed under: Xenoturbella profunda
Lineage: Eukaryota; Metazoa; Xenacoelomorpha; Xenoturbellidae
Also listed under: 1 other name
Description: tRNA-Lys
Source: RNAcentral